AGAUUAAACUGAAGAGUUUGAUCCUGGCUCAGAUUGAACGCUGGCGGCAUGCCUUACACAUGCAAGUCGAACGGCAGCACGGACUUCGGUCUGGUGGCGAGUGGCGAACGGGUGAGUAAUAUAUCGGAACAUACCCUAGAGUGGGGGAUAACGUAGCGAAAGUUACGCUAAUACCGCAUACGAACUAAGGUUGAAAGUGGGGGAUCUUCGGACC
This 214-nucleotide ribosomal RNA is filed under the name Affinundibacterium seohonense. RNAcentral's name for it is "partial 16S ribosomal RNA". It matches the Rfam family "Bacterial small subunit ribosomal RNA", at positions 1 to 214 of the family's 1533-position model. Lineage: Bacteria; Pseudomonadati; Pseudomonadota; Betaproteobacteria; Burkholderiales; Oxalobacteraceae. The record is from RNAcentral.